GCCACUGGGGAAGGAUCUCUGGUUGGAGAUCCCUUCCUCGUGGAGUUUCUAUUGUGAGCCUAGAUCUUCAGAGAUGGCCUCACUCCAGAAUCAGGAUGCUAAAAUCAGCCCUGUGUUACAAGAUGAUGUGCUUCUCCUGCUGCACCACUGAUGACUUCAAACAGCCAUCUGAAAACCUACCUCAGAACACCAUUCUAAAUAGCAACUGGUUUUUAAUUAAUGUCUGCCAAAAGAAGAGGAGCUUAAUGCACAGCCUCCAGCCAUGGGACUUGGGCCGGAAAGCACUACAACGUGGAGAAGCACCCUGAGGCAAUGACUGUGCACCCUCCGCCCGGGACGCGCCUCCCGGCUCCCGCAGCCCGCGCGCUCACAGCGCUCCAGGGCUCGGCCACGCACGCCCCACGUGCUGCCGCCCGCCUGUGACCCGAGUGGGGAGGGGAGGAAAAGGGAGGCGCUUC
Long non-coding RNA from Tympanuchus pallidicinctus (lesser prairie-chicken), 458 nucleotides. RefSeq lists it as uncharacterized. The record is from RefSeq and is a predicted model, not a curated record. NCBI's taxonomy places the organism in Eukaryota, Metazoa, Chordata, Aves, Galliformes, Phasianidae. The transcript is spliced from 3 exons.